This is a long non-coding RNA of Dendrobium catenatum, 2078 nucleotides long. RefSeq lists it as uncharacterized. The transcript has 4 exons. The record is from RefSeq and is a predicted model, not a curated record. Lineage: Eukaryota; Viridiplantae; Streptophyta; Magnoliopsida; Asparagales; Orchidaceae.
UGCUAUUAUCUUCCAAAUUUCUUUUUCUCAUGCUCUUCCUAUAGCCGUGGUUUGCUAGGGUUUUCUUCCUCUUCUCAUGCUGUUCGACUUUGCCUGCUUCGCCUGAUAGGUAGAGUUUCGAACGAGUCGCUAAAUGACUUCUUUGCCUCGUUCAACGACGUUCCUUCCUGUCGAAUCCCAUGUCAUGGUAGGAUGCAUUAUUCUCUUUGAAGUUCCAAUGAAAUUCCCGUUCUGAGUAGUUGCAGAUGCAUAUUUAUAGUGGAUCAGUGGAUGAGGUUGUUGUGGAAGAAGCAUGAAGCAUGCCUCGUUGGUUUUUGCAACAUGUUGUGUUGUUGUGGCUGUUAUUAAUUUUUAAUUACCAGUGCUUAUUUGUUUUAUUAAGUUUUCAUGCCAUGUUGCAUUUACCUAUUUGAAUCUUUCAUGGUUAGGUUCUCAUCUCUUUAAUUGAGAAUGGCGAGGCAUCAACAAUGACCUUAUAUUCCAGAAGUAAUAGAUGCUUUCAUUUUUUUUUAUAAGGGCUUGAGCAAGGAGGACAACUUGAAAGCUUUUUCUCUUUUUAUUUUUUUUUCUAUGAUAGAGUUAAGGAGUUGUCUUUGGAUAUCUCUUUAUUAAAGUUACAUGAAACAACUUUGGUGUUCAGAAGAAUUUUAAUCGAUUCCCCCUCCUCCCUCUCUCUCUCUCUCUAUACACACACACAAGCACAUACAUGCAAAUAUAACAUUGAUAUAUGGAUAUUUAUAUGCAUUUAUGUAUGAUAAACUUCUUGUAAUUAAAUUGCCCUUAACUUGAAAAAAUAUUGUAUUUGUGUGGACAAUGAGGAGAACUAUAAGGAUCGUGAGACAUUUUUUUACAAUUAGUGUCCGAUAGUUAUUGUUGUCUUUUGUUUAACUCAGUUAUGUAAUCAUUGAGAUUUCUCUUGGAAGAAUUUUGCUGGUGAUUGCCAACAAGUGAAUGAUCUUCUUGAAAUCAGGUUUCUUAUACUCUUUUUGCAUUGGCGAACAUCAAGGAUGGCCUGAAAAUUCUUAGGCAACCGAUGUUCUGAUUUUACCUUUUUAUGCUUGAGAGAAAUAAGCCUCAUGAGGCAACCUGUGCAGACAUCAUGAUUUUAGCUUUUUAUGGCUAUAGCUGAGAGAUAAUAUUGGAAACUUGUUCUCACUUUGAUCUCUUGGUUGUUUGGUCGAAAGUUAAAAAAAAAAAACUUUGUUGGUGACUGGAAUCCCAGUUGUGGUCUGCUUUCCUGCUAGCUGGCAAUCCUCCAUGCCCUGGUAUUGUGGCAGCUGCACUUUAAUAAAUUAUGGAGCUUACAAAGUGUGGUGCUUUGAACCGCCAAACAAUCUGAAGCAUGUUUCGGUUAUGCAUUACCUUACAAAUUUAGAUGCUGGAUUUCGUUUUGGAGAGGCAGUGACAAUUAUUGUUGGUAAUUUGGUUGAUUCUUCCUCUACUCUAGCAAUGGGGUUUUAAGGAUGGAAUGGAACUCCUCUACCAACGUACUGGUAGUGCUAUAAAAAACUUCCUAUAGUACUGCUUCUUUUUCCAAUGUUGCUGCUGCUAUGAGAACUUGAGAACCUACUUCUAUUUAGUUUUUUAGCUGCAUGUUCUAAGCUUUUCUUGGAUUCUUUGCAACAGUAGGAUCUGGAGGCAUUUGUUGCUGCUAAAUAUUUAUUUUCAAUGAUUAUAUUUUAAUGAUUGAUGAAAACUGUUUGUCAAGAUAGUGAUGAGCUUGAUGAUAUCAACAACAUCCUUAUCUGAAUGGUGUGGAACUAUUUGAUUUGUUUCUCUGGAGUGAUCCCAAUGAAAACUUCAUUUGCAGAGGUGAUUGUUAUGGUGAUGCUGCUUAUGAUGAUGAUGGUCUCUUGAGCCAUAGUGAAUGAUUGCCUGCCUCAGCACUAGGGGUGUAAAUGAGUGGAUUUAGAGCUACUUAAGUGUUGUCAAAUGAGCAAAAAUUGUGUUUAGAUCUUUAACUUAUCUCGCAAAGCAAAAUGCUGUUUACAGACAUAAAGCAUAUUUGUAAAGUUAGAUGUAGCAAUUUAGUUUAUGAAGAGCAACAAUGCGGUUUAUGAAAGUUAUUUUUUAUCUGA